GCAGAACGCGAAGAACCUUACCUAGACUUGACAUCUCCUGCAUUACCCUUAACCGGGGAAGUCCCUUCGGGGACAGGAUGACAGGUGGUGCAUGGUUGUCGUCAGCUCGUGUCGUGAGAUGUUGGGUUAAGUCCCGCAACGAGCGCAACCCCUAUUGUUAGUUGCCACCAUUAAGUUGAGCACUCUAGCGAGACUGCCCGGGUUAACCGGGAGGAAGGUGGGGAUGACGUCAAAUCAUCAUGCCCCUUAUGUCUAGGGCUACACACGUGCUACAAUGGCAAGUACAACGCGAUGCAAUACCGCGAGGUGGAGCUAACCUAUAAAACUUGUCUCAGUUCGGAUUGUAGGCUGAAACUCGCCUACAUGAAGCUGGAGUUGCUAGUAAUCGCGAAUCAGAAUGUCGCGGUGAAUACGUUCCCGGGUCUUGUACACACCGAGUC
RNAcentral lists this ribosomal RNA (440 nucleotides) under uncultured bacterium. Its description in RNAcentral is "bacterial SSU rRNA". It matches the Rfam family "Bacterial small subunit ribosomal RNA", at positions 954 to 1398 of the family's 1533-position model. The record is from RNAcentral.